UAAGUUUCUUUGCUUUUUUUGCUCUUUUAAACAUACAUUUUUUCACGUGUAAAACACAUUUUUUUUACACAAUAAAAUUAUCCCCAUAAGAAGCAGUAGCUAAUAAAUUUUUAAAAGAAUUUGUAUCUCCAUCGCCGAUAUAAUAAGUGUACUUUACGCUUGCUCGGAUUGCCAUACUCUUGCUCGGAUCGUUGAAACAUUUUGAUAAUGCCAUCGAUCUUCAUUUUUCCUACACUGCCUUCAUGAUUAGCUGCACAGUCUUCCUUAUGAUCUUCACACUGUGCAUGAUAAUCGAUAUCGUCAAGCUUAUUUUUUGACACAUUGCAAGCUUUGCAAAUGCUAGAUUUUAUAACGAUAUCUACGGUUUUAUUGCUGUACUUUCUUAUCAAAGAAACAAUACCCAAAAGUGAUAAAAAAUCUUGUUUUGACCACGAACUGUCGUGUCGCCAGAAAUAAUAAGUUCAUUUUCACAUUCACCGGCUUCCGUAUUUAGCGCUAUAAAAACUUCAAAAAUAAAACGUGCUAUACUACUCUCGCUUCAAAAUUCAAAACAAAACUGACCUAACGUCGGCAUGUACAAAACCACACACAUAUAAUUAUAUACAUAACUAUACAAGUACAAAUUAAGAAAGGGACCCUAACACUAACAUUAGAGACCUUACAUUGAAUAACAAAACCAAAUAUACUUGACGCUGCAGCUUCUGCCGCAUUCUUAGAAAGAAACGCCGCUCUGAGCGUACGUGCUUGAUAAUGCUAUAAAGUAGGGAAAUAAUUGAAGGUGCUUUACAAAACUUUGGGAAUAUAUUCUCAAAUACAUAUACUUUCGAAAAAUGUAAUAAAAAAUCGAUUUAAUUUGUGAAACUAGAAUGAUAUGUUAAUUAUCCUUAAUAUGUUAAUUAUUUUUUUCCAAAUUACAUAUAUUCCAUCAACAUCUACACGUUUACAUAUUUACACACAUACACUCGUAAACUCUAUAGAGCCAAUAUUUUCUGCUAAAUAUUUUCACGAUUUAUAUAAACUAAUUAUAAAUACAUAUGAAUACACGUGGAGUAAAAAAUAGAUUAAAUUUAUAGUAAUAUAGUGUCAUAUUUGACAUAUAGUACAAAAAGGGUAAAUUUUUAAAAAUAAUUUUUCUUUCAAAAACGGGUAGUGCUUCAAAUAGAAAUAUUUAUUAUAAAAUUUUUCUGUAAAACAUUUUUCAAUAUUUAGUUUAUUAGAGUUUAGUUAUGAAAUAUUACACAAAAGUCGAAUAGCUCUCUUUUUAAAGGGUGGUUUUUAACUGUUUUUGGAUUGCUACUAAAAAUGUAUAAAUUUCUGUAUUUACUCUCUCCCCUCCUACAUUUAUGCCAAGUUUCAAAUUUAAAAUCCGAAUUUUCAAAUUUGCGAGGUUUUCUUGUUAGACAUUCUACUUUAAGUAUUUUCUAUAAGAAAAAAAUGUAAAUCUUGAUAAGAUAAGUAAUUCGUAUUCAUAAGAAAAUUUUGUGUAUUUAUUAUUCUGUAAGUUAACAAAUUUUUGUUCGUAUUUAUCACAUUAUUCAUUUUUUUUCAUCUUUUCUUCCUGUGAAACAAUUUGUUAGGCUGAUUUUUUUUAAGAAGGCUGUGUACUCUUAUGUAUCACUAAUGUGAGAUAUUAAUAAUAAUACAUAUGCAAUAAUGUAUAAUCUGCGAUACAAAAUUAAAAAGUAAAUAUUGAAUUUCUUUGCAAGACAAUUUCGAUCUUAGAAUGUAUAAAAAUGUUACUAAAAAUAUUUUGCUACAGAAAAUUGUACAAAUCAGCCUUGCAAUUGUUAUUUCUUUUACAAUUUAUGUAUUCAUCACAUAUGUAAUAAUAAUUAGUGGUUUAUAAACUUUUAUUAUAAAUAUUUAUAAAUAUAUCUUUUUACAUAAUUGAUAAAAAGGUUUUUUACUACUUAAUGUAUCGUAAUCUUAGCGUAGAUGUGAUUUCAUCUUUACGAUAAUUAACGUAGUGAUUUUAAUGUCGUAGUAUUCUUCUAAUAUGCUAGUCAAACCGAUAUAUAAAGAUCCAAAAGACCUUUAUUAUUAAUUAAUUACCAUUAUUAUUUACUUGUCGUUAAUGAUUAUUACUAUUGUAACAUGUAAAUCUAUAUCCAAUAAAUACUUUUCUAUUAUUCGAAAUUCAUUUAUUUAGAUCACCAAUGAUCAUCAUUACUUUUAUUUUUAUGAAUUUAUUAAAUUUGUGGAUUAGAUAUUUUUAAGUAAGGAUUGUUUUUUAGUGUAUUUUUUUUUUAUUUAACAAGAGGACAUUCAACCUCUUUCCAAUAUCAUAGAUUUUGCUAGAUUUUGAAUAUCCUAUAGUACGUAAUAUGAAGCGUCGGUAAUUCUGCGACAGUUUGUGUACGUUACCAUAUACAUACAUCGAGAUGGCACAAGUAUAAUAACGAGCGGAAGCGUGCGUAAGGGAUAGAGCGGGCCGAUUGGUAGACGUUUAUUCGCAAAUUUAAUUUUGUGAAGGUUAUUCCAGUUUCCGCCUUUUGUCGCGAAAGUUCUUUUACUUCUUUUUGCGUUGUCUGCCGGAAGACCUUUUGGUGCGUCUUUUUGCUAGGCGUAUGAGACAUUCACGUUGAAAGACUCUAACCUUGCUACCGCAUGUCCGCAGGCACGUGCUUUCGCCAAGCCUCGAAGAAAGCGUGGUUAUGGUAAUCGGCUAGGAUAAACACAAGGAUAUUGUCAAAAAGAACCACACUUUAUUAUUAGAAGACCGACGGUUGUAUAUUUAGUCUCGAACAACAUGGAACUAAUUAACGCGGGAAAGACUUCCCUAGAGAUCCCCGAGAAAACAGGGUUGCCAAUAGACGAAAAGUUAUUAGAUUGACAGAUAGCAGCUCCUAAUAGAGUAUUAGUACAGUGUCACAGUAGGACAGUUGACACAUAUAUAUUUCAAUAUUGCCCCUUAAACUGAAUUACGUCUAUUACUAUGUCGAUAUACAAAGACAAAAAAUAUUACUUGCAAAAUUAUAUUUUAGUACACAUAUCUUUAAAUUUGACAGAGUUUAAGGGUUUUGUGAACAUGUCACCCAUUUGUUCUUCUGAACGAAUUCAACAUCGAUUUCACCUCUUCGAUAUAGCUCACGAACAAAAUAAUAACGAAUUUCUAUAUGUUUAGAUUGUUUAUGGAAUUCGUGGUUUUUUGUCAAUUUAAUUGCACUUGCGUUAUCAAUAAACAGUACAGGAAUAUCACUGUUUUCUUUAAUUUCAAAUAUCAGUCUUUUAAGCCAUACGAGUUCCUUUGAUCCUUUGCUAGCGGCAACAAACUCUGCUUCCGUAGUGGAGAAUGCAACUGAUUUUUGUAGUUGAGAAGUCCUAAGAUUUUAACUGCAAUUCUUGGGACGCCAUAGAGCACUUUUGAAAGUUAUUAAGCCAUAGGGUAAGUUAGGGUAUGAGAGCCAUACGAAAAAGAAUGGCUAUAAUUUCUCCAAUAAUUGCUAAAUAAUGUAUUCUUGUAAUUAUUUUCAAAGAUAAUCGAUAUUUACUGUAGUUUAUACGCGUAUACUUUUCUAAAUAAAAAAUAACAUUGCGGAUAUUAUAUCACGCUUUUACUUUCGACUACGUGCAAAGUUUUUCAUGUGUUCAUUAAAAAUUGACACAACAUUGAAUAAAUUACAGUUGAGCUGUCACAAUUAACGUUAGACACAUAGCGAAGGUAGGUAUAAUGUGAUUGUAAUGUGUGAUUAUAUCUUCUAUUUCUUUUUCCAAUUUUUAAUAAAUAAUAUAAUUAUUUUUCUCUCACAGUUCGGGUAAGAUGGCCCACUUUCUUCGGGAUAAGUUGGCCAACGUAAGAUGGACGCACAUUAGUGUCGGUGUACUAGAGAUGGAAAACUAGAUCUUUAGGAAUUUCCAAAUGACGUAUAAGACAACACUCUAACUGACGCUAAACUAUGUUAAAGGACUGUCUAGAUAGAGCUCCACUUCUGCAAGAAAUAGAAAAUACAUACAUUCAAAGUAAGGAUUCAAGAAUUUUGCAAAAGACGACAAUAAUUAAUACUGCAUAACAAUAAUAAUAACGCAUAUGUAUAUAUUUUAUUAAAAAGAUAAGAAUUAAGUUGCGCACCUAACAUUUUAAAUUUGAUAUAUACUUUUAGAUAUUUUUUUAGUAUUGACAAUGAGUUAAAUAGAUGCUAAACUUUGUGUAGAAAAAGUUGCUUUUAAUGAUUCAUUUUUUAAUAAUAUUAAGAGAUAAUUUGAUUUAUUAUUUUAUAUUGUGUUUAUCAAAAUAAAUUAAUAAUGCACUGCGUAUUUUUACAGAAAAGAGUUUAACUGCACAUUUCAAUCUUUUAAUUUCAGAAUAAUAUAGAUAUAAUACAGAUAUAAAAAUUUAUUAACAGUGCACUGAUUCAAUACACUAGACAUAUUUCUUUUAUCAAUUUUACUAUAGUACUGAACUAGUACUGAACUAUUCUACCAGUAUUAAACUACUAUUUUAUGGUACUGAAUUACUAUUCAACAACAAUACAAAGAUAUGAAUAUAAUAAAAUUAAAUUUCUGUGAAAUCAAUAAAAACAUGUGUAAAAUGAAAUAUUUGAUAAACAUUUUGUUAUUGACCUUGAAAUUGUUACAGACUUUGUAAAAAUGACAAAUAAAGAGAACUUUCCAAAACGAAGUAAAUGGUCGCAGGAUCAAUUAACCGCAGCUCUGGAAGCCAUUCAAAAUAACAUUUCUGUACGUCGAGCCAGCAUUGAAUAUGGUAUUCCCAGAAAAACUUUUGAAAGAAGAUUUAAAUCUGGAAAUGCAAUAAAAGGUGGAAUGGGACCUACCUGUUUGUUUGGAAUGCAGAAUGAGAAAAAAAUAGUAAACCACAUCAAAACAAUGCUAAAGCGUGGUUUUCCGCUUACUUGAGAUGAUCUUCGUACACUGGCUUAUAAUUUUGCCAAUCAGCUUAAAGUAAAACAUAAAUUUAAUAAUGAUAUUCAAAAAGCUGGAUAUGACUGGCUUUAUUUAUUUUUAUUUAGACAUCCUAAUAUUUCUGUACGCAAAUCAAAAAGUUUAUCUCUUAGUAGAAGCCUUAUGAAAUGUUGGAUAGGAUCGGGUGGUUGUAUAGGUAUCUUAUAAAGUGGAGAUAAAGCAAAGAAGGACGUAACGCAACACGACUCCCGAAGGCACAGGCUCGAGGGAAAGACAAGUGCCUUAGCGGCGAACGCACUCUUUAUUGCUAGAAAUGUGGGUUAGUGUGCCGGUGGGCUCGCUAUAACCCCGAUUUCUGAGCUGUGCGUCAGUCGGUUCUAAUUUAGAGUCAGCAAAUUUAAUUGUUAUAACUCGGGAUCAAACCCGAUGCAGUCUUUAGUUGAGGAUGAAGGUAGAUCGAUUUAUAAAUAAAUAAAGAAUUUUAAAUUUAAAUACAUAUUUAUUCUAACACACAUUUUUUUAUUAGGAAAGGUAAUACAAAUAAAGAGCUUAAGUUUGUGAUACCGAAAAAAUAUAUAUAUAUAUUUAUGUUUACUUAAUGUUUUAACGGAAUUUAGAUCAUCUUAGUAUUGUACAUUAUUAUGCCAUAAUUUGGAUAUCUUAGUAUUAUCAUUAUCAACAUCAAUACAUCAUUAUGCCGUAAUUUGGAAUAUAUACAUAUAGGAAUUAUUAAUGCGUAAAAAUUUGGUACAUUAGUAGGCGGUUAGAGAGAGAAGGGGUUAAAAUUUUUAUAUUAUUUCUUGUAUAGUUGUCCUGGAAGGGGGGAAGAAAUUGUAAAAGAAAUCGAUAGGGACAGCGAAGGGGUCAUGGUAGUAAGGGGUGAAAACCGGAAUGAGAUCUGUAGUGCGCAUGUGAUAUGAAAUAAAACAUUUGGAUCAAAUCCUUCUGGAAUAGAGCGAAAUUGCGGUAAUGGUGUAGUGAUGGAUCUCUUUUAAUCGGGAACUGUUCUAGUAAUUCUAUUAAAGAAGUUUGACUACUGUUAUAAUGAUAAAACCGUGGGCGUGGAGGAGAAGGAAGAUGACGAGGGAGAAGGAAGGGAGAAGGAAGUUCAGCUGUAAAUUCUAUAUCAGAGUCUGAAGAAGGUGAGGAUGGGGAUGGUAUUUCUAUUAUCUCGGGAGAGCUAAUGGGGGAAUAUGAAGGGGAAGGAUAGGGACCGAGACAGGAAUCUUCGGAUGUUCGGGAGGAAGGGCGAGGGCCGUGAGUAACGUCCUCGGAGGUGAGUGAGGGAAAGAGUUGAGAUGGUGAUAGCAGGGGUUCAACCGAGUGAUGGGUUUCCGACUCUCGUUGACCCUGACGUAAGGGCUCGCCUCGGAGGAUUCGUGCCUCCCUGCGCUGACGCCGACGUUCCCUUCUUAUAGACCAGCGAUUUCGUCUGGGUCGGGAGUAAAUAUGGUUGUUCACUGAAGUUACAAUCCGAUUUAGAAAAGGGGGGAAGUAAAUGAAAACGUUAAUAAGACUGGCAUUUACUACUUGGCGUGACUGAUGAGAAGGGGUUAAACUCGGAGUUCUCUCUUUGCCAGAGCGGUCCCCGUUAGAUUUAUUGAGCCUGAAACUGGCUGAACAGGUCAGAGUCAAAGACGGUGCGGCCCGAGGAUGGUGAAGCUCGGGGUAAGAAGUUGCACUCAAAUCGUAAGUCUCGAAAGUUCCGCUAACCUAACACUAAGUUCCGAGUUCGGUACUAACACUCACUCGAGUUGCGAAGGAACAUAAAGUUCUAAAAACGAAGCGGCGAUAAAGCUAGCGACCACGAUAGCGACUGCAACAGCGACUGACUCCGACUUUUAGAGUAUCGAUUUUUAUAGUAAUUCUGAAAAGUAAAAUUUUGGGUGUGGGUGUUUCGGGGAUGUUAAUUGGCGGGAUUGCUUUCGGGAAUGCGUGGGAAUUAAUUUUUAGAGUUCUCAUUGGAUAAGUGGUUGCUUGGUUUCGGGGUGGUGUUUGUUAAACGCUCUGACUAUUGGUCUGUUUUUCUUGUCUCCGCCUAAAAUUUUCGAAUCUAGUAGGGGAGAGGGAAGGUUCGAAUCUUAUUGUUACGUUCGACAAAAUUUUUCCCUUUUUGUCUCACUUUCUCGCGUCGCGCUUUCGCAUGCUCCGUCGCAGCGCUUGUCUCACCGAGCGCUCCCUUCCACACGAACUCGCACGCACGAGGUACCGACGUGUACGCCCUAUGCGUACAAUCCUUAUUAACUGUAUACUAUUGCGUACGUAAUUAUCACUCCUUUUGUCAAAGCUCAAAUUCAUCGAAUCAUGCCGCGUUCAGUUAACAACUUUGUUAAAAAAAUAAUAUUCGUUCAUCACCUUUUUUUUGGUAUUAACGACGUCAGGGUGCAAUCGCCACCCUCAAUCUCCCUCGUUAAUUAUUAUGGAUUACGAUCCCUCGCAAUCACGCUAUCGCUCUCUCACUAUUAACAACUUGAAAUAAUGCGAAUAUUUUUCAACCACGCGGUCCGCGCAUGACAGCCCUCGCGCUGCCGAAGAGUCGGUCCAGUCGCGGGGCGCGUGUUACCUAAGUGGGAUAGCGAUAGCUUGAGCAUUACUCUAACCGAGAGGUGUAAGUGAGAUAACAAGAGUAAAGCAAUUACGAAAAGUAUGCGGAUUAAUUACUCCGCUCACAGAGGUGAUAAGAGGAAGGCGAAAGAAGCAUUUGAACGCUAACCCCCCUGGCUACCUCUUGACCAAAAUUUAUAAUGAUCCGAAUAAAAAUUAGAAAUUAUAGAAUUUCAAAAAUAAUAGUUAUUUGUCGCGGAAAAUUCCAGGAAUUUGAGCUUCCCCACGCCCGCGUACCCCUAGGACCUCCUAGUUUUGGGGUAUAUAAGGAGCGCAAGAGCCGCGGAAAGCAGCAUUUUUCGCUCUUACAGUCCGUCGUGCUGCUCGUAGCACUUCUGCUCUAGCGAACUAUAGUAUUCUGUCUAAGCGACUCGUCUUGCCACCGUGCGCGAUAAUUCUCCAGUGCGAUCAGAACGUACCGCCCUGCGUACACGCGUACUUGCUAUCUUAAGGACGCACGGAAAUUCUAAUUGUAAGUAGUAUUUCUAUCUUCGCUAACUAUCGCCGUCGUAUCAAACUUAGCACUUUAAUAAUUUCAUUCUAUUUGAUAGUUAAUCUCGCCAAGUAAAUAAAACUGCAAUUGUGACUUAAAAUCUUGUUCCCCCUUUUUUUUAUCUUUUUUUUUUUUCUUCUAUAAUAAAUUCUCGAAAAUAUACUUUCUCUUUUUUUUUAUUAUUAUUUCCUUUUUUAUACUCCUCGUGUUCGGUGCGCGAGUGCUAGUCUAAGUUAGUAAUAAGAACAUUCCUCCCCAGUGCUUCAAGUAUUCCAGAGCAAAUAGAGGCGACUUCAUUGACUCCUCAUCCUGGAGCCGCGCGCUUCCACUCAGGCGCUCGUCUGUUCCAUGAACUUCGGGCCAGGGGCGCUUAUUAAGGCGCUUAAGCCAGAGGGUGUCCAGUGGGCAACGGGCCGCCUAUUAAGGCGCUUUAUUCCCACUGCAAUCAAUUCCAUUGCUUACUGCGCACCACAGAGCAGCCCAUUAAGGGCGCUCUCAGUCGCACCUACCAAUCAGUCUCCGCGUGAGCUAUGUUGCGUCUCACUAAGGCGCUCCGUCUCACGUCUUUCAUUCCCGUCGCCAUUGCAUUGCUCAUCCUCCCGCUCGCGCUCGUUCGCACUUCCCGGAUGUGACCCACAAAGGAACAGGGGUAACUUCACUCACGUUCAUCAACCCCCCCCCCCAUCUCUUCCACUAGCACCAUUAGAAUUCGCGUGAAAUUUACUCAGGUGACAGGCAGACAUCACAAUUAGAAAUAUAUUAAAUAAUAAAUAAAAGGGGAAGGGAAAUUCCAUCCCUCACUCUCUCUCUCUCCACCCAUCUUAUAAAUGAUUGAGCAGACGCGAAUUUACCUACAAUUUUUCAACAUAACCAACCCAUUGCUAUCGUGAUAGUAACUCCUUAGAAGAAGAGUUGAGCCGAUCUCUCUCAAAUCCAAAACCUCAUGGGCAGCCUACUAAGGCGCUUACCCCCGCAAUUUCCAUUCCAACCUGCAGGCAACGGACAAGCCUUCUAAGGCGCUUACCCCCGCAAUUUCCAUUCCAACCUGCAGGCAACGGACUAGCCUACUAAGGCGCUUACCCCCGCAAUUUCCAUUCCAACCUGCAGGCAACGGGCUAGCCUACUUAAGGCGCUUACCCCCGCAAAUUCCAUUCCAACUUGCAGGUAACGGGCUAGCCUACUAAGACGCUUUUUCUUUUGCAGAUUCUAUUGUACUUGACCCCCGCUGGCAUCCCCCAACUUUAGUUCUAAUGGUAUCCCAUCCGUAAUAAUUUGCAAUCGUUUUGUGAUAACCUCACCUCCCUUUAUAAUUGUAUAGCGUUCGGGAAACCCUGCCUGCCACUCGCUAAAAUAUCAUUAUUAUGGCUAUCGUACUAAUUCACCCUUCCACCCCCAUCACAGCAUCCCAUGACUCACUCACGGCGAGGGGGCCGCAAAAAGCAAUUGAAACGCCUCAAAUGGCGAUUGAUUGAAUCUGGGACGUUCGAUCCCUGAACUUUUGAGCGACAACCGUCGCCCAAGUCGUCGCCCGCCAGGCACGAGUCUCCUGGCCCGUUCGAUUUAAGGCCUCCCUCGAGGCCGCCGCCAGCACCGAAGCGCCCCGCGCCUGCCCGGCUUGCUCCAGCAAACACCACGCGACAUCUUCCUCCGCUACCUGACGGGGACGUCGCACCUUCUCGAGCCCCGACUCGGCCCGUCAAAGUGGACCGACAAGUCCGACUCCCACCGCGCCGAGGUCCUCGAGUCCUAGCGGACGAGAUAGUUGUCGGGGAGCUCACGAAAUUAGAGCUCUUCGCAAGCGCAACUCCGCAAUCUGCAGCCGUUUAUCACAGGCUAGUCAACACAUCACCGGUAACAGAACAAAACGGUAUCCCUUAUCCGGUCCCGCACGAGAGUCGACCGCCUUACCAAAUCUUACUAAAUUCCGCGUGGCUGCCAAGUGAUGGCCUUACAAAACCCGCCAUCUUGGUCCGCCGAAGCCGAUAGCCCUGGGCUGGUCCUCGCCGAUGCGCCUUAUCAUACGGCUUACCGAACAGUGAGGAGCCCCUGUCCCGCACCGGCCGGCUCGAGCCGUCGCGCAUGCGCGGACGCUCUUCAAUUCCCAAUAGGUGGAUCCGCGUGACUCGCGUGAUCCUCGAUCCAGCGCCGCGCUGCUUCAUCUCUCGCAAGGUCCGUGAUGAACACGUGCUCCAAAAGUGCGAUCCCUUUUUCCGCCGUUUCGGUAGGUCCGGCUGGCCAGGCCGCGACCAAUCCGAUCUUGGUAGCUGGCGGUUUACAUGGCUGUGAUCGCUCUUCCGGUCCGCAGCCCGGUGUCGCGUGCCCACGGCGUGAUCCUUGCUGGGAGCCGUCGUGUCUCCGUGCUGUCAUUCGGCGCGGUCGGUACCCUUGGCUCAGGGACGGCAACGCGCUGCGGGGCCCGACGCACGGCUCGGCGGGGAAACUCCUUGAGGGGCGCUCUUUCUACUGUCGAUUGUCCCCAGCAGAAUUCCCACGACGACUGCUCCUCCGUCGCUCUUGGCACACUCUUUAGAUGAGCCUACACUCGACGCCUUAACUUUAAAUGAUUAUCAACUACAAUCGGAAAACGGUAUCGCAGACUAAAAAAAUCAAAAAAAAAAUAAAAGAACAGAACCAUAUCCCCUCGGCUCAGCAAGGAGUCGCCCCCGAUCGACCCCUCGGUCGGACUUAUGCCCUUGUGACGCGCGCGCCGGACGCGCCACGACACAAUAUAUAUAUAUGAAGAUGGUUAUCCUUAUUAUCGUUGACGAAAUACUGGUAAUGUAUUCUGGAAAUGGAUUGCAAGAAGCGGGCGAUAGUUACACGCCCCGCGACUUAGAAUUAUGAAUAGAGCAGUAAAAAUUUAUCUGAUGACCACGAAAUCGAACACGAUAAUUAAAUAAUCGCUAAAUUAAAUGACAGGCAUCAGAUGAUUUAUUGCUCUCCUUUCCGCGCUCUUCACCCUCGAACGUCCUCGGUUACGAGUAUAUAAACCGCGAUUUUCGAGCGAAAAUUGAGAUUUUGCCUCCUCCUCUCGCGUCGAAAGGCUGUAAGAGUCGCUCUAUAAACUUUCCGGACUUAGAAUAAUUUCUUAAUUUUGCGUACGGCCUUAUAAUAUUUUCAUAAUUUCGCGUACGGACUUAUAAUAUUUUCGAAUUUACACGUUCGAACUUAGAAUAUUUUGCAGUAUUCAGAGAGACUCGAGAUGGCAACUUCUCCCUCAGUUUACUAAUCGCUAUCUUUUUUUCAUAGAACAAAAGUGCGACACUAGCGAGCGUGCGUGCGCGUGUGAUUUAUCGAGUAGAACGAAUACAAAUUUGUGAAGAUGCGAGUUCUCUCCAUUCAUUUUUUUUCUUUUCUUCUUAAAGUUAUUAAAAACCAGUGAUACUAAAUUCAAGGUUCUCUUUUCUUUUUACUUCUUUUCCCUUUUCUUUUCUUUGCGUCACGGAAGUGCGUUCGCGAGUUAAUCGGUGAUGCUUCCCCCUUUCUUUUGUGUCAUUCCUUCAGAGAGUGGUGAACCACGGCUCAGCGCUGCAGUUCCUUAGGGAGCGUAGCGGUCCCCGUCAUUCGCUGAGAGAGCGCGUUUCAGCGUUCGCUCGCGGCACGCGGGAGCAUCGUGCGCCUCUCUCUCUCUCUCUCUCUCUCUCUCUCUCUCUCUCUCUCUGUCGCAAUCUCCAAUCCUUUCAAGAACGACUAGCCAACGGUGCGGGAAGGUGCGCGCUGAAAAGCGUACAUCCUUCCCCGUCAACCGCCCCUACGAAGUCGCAAGACUUUAGCAUAGGCGUGGGUUACCGGCGCGCUAUAUGCGUUCCGACAUUUCUGACAGCACCGAAGACGGUGCCGCUACUUAACCAGGCGCCUCCACCCAGAUCUAUGGUGGAGGUAUACGUCUCUCGAUUCCUUUCUAUCCACGCUUCCGGGCAAUCCAGCGUCCAUUGUACAUCAAUAGUCAUCGCGAUUAUUUAAAGUAUUAAAUUCCCACCUUCCGAAAAACUAAUUAUUACAUUAUAAUUUAAAAUACGAGAAUUGAGGACAUGGCAUUCUUCCCUGCAGAUGGGAAGGUCACGCCGGCGGCACCCGCACCGGCUAAAGGAACACGUCGACCUCUUAAUCAAAGGCGGGGAGACUAAUCGGCUGCUCUCCCGCGGCCUUUCGGCAGGUUCGUCGCGUGAGUCGCCCACGCCCCCGAACGCAUCUGAGGCCAGCGAACCGGUUUCGCGCGGCAGCAGCCCCAAGUCACCGUCGGAGGAACCGUUCGACUUCUCCGGGCCGGUUAUAGUGCGUCUGGAGGCACUCGCUUCUGGCAUUCGCCUCCCUAGCAAAAUAACAUUAAUAGGGCCAAAAUAAUAAAAAUAAAAUCGAAUUUAAAAAUAAAUUCUUCUUAGCUCUUUCGAUUAUCAUUUCCUUUCCCGCUGCGUACAUUAUCUCUCUCUGUUUCCGCUCGGCAGAGUAGAGUGACUUAUAAAAUUUCGAACAAUAAUAAAAACUCGCGAUCCUGACCCCGCCGGACGUAACAAUAUUGUCCUCUAGUUAUUCGUCUAUUACUGUUUAAUUUUUUUUAAUGACAAUGGCAUCCUCGAGUACCAUAUGGAUACAAUGAAUAUAUCCAUGGUUCAACAUUUGGAUCCAUACUAACGCUUUGUAAAGUUUUAGUAUUUUUAUUGCGUAUUGUAACAUAUGAUUCUGGGAUUUCUCAUCUGCAGUUGUAGAAAAAACGGCAGCAACUUCAUUUAUUCUUUGGAUAUUAUCGACGUCGAUCCAUUUCAGGUUUUAAAGUAAAUACUAAUUGUAGUUCUGGUAUCGACUCAUUAGAUAGUAAUUGUUGUUGAUUUUCUAAUUCUUCACUCACCAUUUGAUAUGAUUUAGCAAAAAUGUUACAUUCUCUCAUUAUAUGCUCAAGAUUUUGUAAGAUUUCGAAAUCUAAAUUCGAAUUUUCAUUAAAACGGUGAUUUAUAGUUUCAUUUGGAUCGACAAUAAAAAGUUGCCCAUAAGUUGGACUUUCAUUUUGUGCAGCGUAUAAUGCUGUAUUAAUUUGAUAAUAUAUUUGUCUCUGUAUCUUAAAAGUACGGACCAGGUCGGUUAUUUUGAAAUUUAAUCAAAUUAGCAUUAAAUGAUGCAAAUGGAAAUGAAGAAUUAUAACUACGAAUAUGUUGAAAGAAGUUAUUAAAUUUUGCAUGAUGUCCAUCGAA
Molecule: long non-coding RNA, 13143 nt
Organism: Monomorium pharaonis (pharaoh ant)
Lineage: Eukaryota; Metazoa; Arthropoda; Insecta; Hymenoptera; Formicidae
Exons: 2
Source: RefSeq, a predicted model, not a curated record